GAUGAACGCUGGCGGCGUGCUUAACACAUGCAAGUCGAACGGAAAGGCCCAAGCUUGCUUGGGUACUCGAGUGGCGAACGGGUGAGUAACACGUGGGUGAUCUGCCCUGCACUUCGGGAUAAGCCUGGGAAACUGGGUCUAAUACCGGAUAGGAACACUUCUUGGAUGUUGUGGUGGAAAGUUUUUUCGGUGUGGGAUGAGCUCGCGGCCUAUCAGCUUGUUGGUGGGGUAAUGGCCUACCAAGGCGUCGACGGGUAGCCGGCCUGAGAGGGUGUACGGCCACAUUGGGACUGAGAUACGGCCCAGACUCCUACGGGAGGCAGCAGUGGGGAAUAUUGCACAAUGGGCGCAAGCCUGAUGCAGCGACGCCGCGUGGGGGAUGACGGCCUUCGGGUUGUAAACUCCUUUCGCUAGGGACGAAGCGUUUUGUGACGGUACCUGGAGAAGAAGCACCGGCUAACUACGUG
RNAcentral lists this ribosomal RNA (467 nucleotides) under uncultured bacterium. RNAcentral's name for it is "partial 16S ribosomal RNA". It matches the Rfam family "Bacterial small subunit ribosomal RNA", at positions 28 to 507 of the family's 1533-position model. The record is from RNAcentral.